This 432-nucleotide ribosomal RNA is filed under the name uncultured bacterium. Its description in RNAcentral is "partial 16S ribosomal RNA". It matches the Rfam family "Bacterial small subunit ribosomal RNA", at positions 29 to 506 of the family's 1533-position model. The record is from RNAcentral.
AACGAACGCUGGCGGCAGGCCUAACACAUGCAAGUCGAGCGAGGACUUCGGUUCUAGCGGCGGACGGGUGAGUAACGCGUGGGAAUGUGCCCUUCUCUACGGAAUAGCCCUGGGAAACUGGGAGUAAUACCGUAUACGCCCUAUUGGGGAAAGAUUUAUCGGAGAAGGAUCAGCCCGCGUUGGAUUAGGUAGUUGGUGGGGUAAUGGCCUACCAAGCCGACGAUCCAUAGCUGGUUUGAGAGGAUGAUCAGCCACACUGGGACUGAGACACGGCCCAGACUCCUACGGGAGGCAGCAGUGGGGAAUCUUAGACAAUGGGGGCAACCCUGAUCUAGCCAUGCCGCGUGAGUGAUGAAGGCCUUAGGGUUGUAAAGCUCUUUCAGCUGGGAAGAUAAUGACGGUACCAGCAGAAGAAGCCCCGGCUAACCCCGU